UUGAAAGGGAAACGAUUGAAGUCAGUCGUACCGUCGGGAAUUCACUUUUUGAGCGCUUGUCGUGGGUGACGUUGAGCUUCGCGGCCUUCGUUGCUUUGCGUUAUGGUGCUUUUAGGGUGUACUUUUCCGUAUGGUAGGUCAAUAUCGAUUUUGAUCGUCAUAAAAUGAUCGGAGGAACGUGGCUUCGAUCUCGUAUCGGAGUGUUAUAGCCUUUGGUAGAUGUGACGAUUGGGAUCGAGGAUUGCAACGAAUACCCUUUGGGCUAUCCGUCUGACCUCUGAAAAUCGCUCGGGUGUCGAAAGCGUGCUUAUGACAUUCUAGUUGGCGGUCAAAAGGUUAGAACGCGAUUACAUUCGUUAAGGAUGUUGACGUA
Molecule: ribosomal RNA, 373 nt
Filed under: Glomus sp. hr60
Lineage: Eukaryota; Fungi; Glomeromycota; Glomeromycetes; Glomerales; Glomeraceae
Description: eukaryotic LSU rRNA
Source: RNAcentral